This 271-nucleotide ribosomal RNA is filed under the name uncultured bacterium. Its description in RNAcentral is "partial 16S ribosomal RNA". It matches the Rfam family "Bacterial small subunit ribosomal RNA", at positions 524 to 794 of the family's 1533-position model. The record is from RNAcentral.
UACGUAGGGUGCAAGCGUUAAUCGGAAUUACUGGGCGUAAAGCGUGCGCAGGCGGUUGUGCAAGACAGAUGUGAAAUCCCCGGGCUCAACCUGGGAAUGGCGCUUGUGACUGCAAGGCUAGAGUAUGUCAGAGGGGGGUAGAAUUCCACGUGUAGCAGUGAAAUGCGUAGAGAUGUGGAGGAAUACCGAUGGCGAAGGCAGCCCCCUGGGACGUCACUGACGCUCAUGCACGAAAGCGUGGGGAGCAAACAGGAUUAGAAACCCGAGUAGU